RNAcentral lists this ribosomal RNA (818 nucleotides) under uncultured archaeon. Its description in RNAcentral is "bacterial SSU rRNA". It matches the Rfam family "Archaeal small subunit ribosomal RNA", at positions 23 to 833 of the family's 1478-position model. The record is from RNAcentral.
GCUACUGCCAUCAGAGUUCGAUUUAGCCAUGUUAGUCGAGGGUGCUUCUUCUUCGGAAGAAGUAACCCGGCGGACGGCUCAGUAACACGUGGAUAACUUGCCCUUGGGUCUGGGAUAACCCCUGAGAAAUUGGGGACAAUACCAGAUAGGGCAUCGAUAGCUGGAAUGCGCGAUGUCCAAAAGCUGAGGCGCCCAAGGAUAGGUCUGCGGCCGAUUAGGUUGUUGUUGAUGUAAUGGAUCAACAAGCCUGCAAUCGGUACGGGUUGCGAGAGCAAGAGCCCGGAGAUGGGUUCUGAGAAAAGAACCCAGGUCCUACGGGACGCAUCAGGCGCGAAAACUUUACAAUGUGCGAAAGCACGAUAAGGGAACUCUGAGUGCCUCCUAUGGAGGCUGUUCAGGUGUCUAAAAAGCACUUGAAGUAGGGGCUGGGUAAGACCGGUGCCAGCCGCCGCGGUAACACCGGCAGCCCAAGUGGUAGCCACGAUUAUUGGGUCUAAAGCGUCCGUAGCCGGCCAGGUAAGUUCUUUGGGAAAUUUAACCGCUCAACGGUUAAGCUUUCAGGGAAUACUGCUUGGCUUGGGACCGGGAGAGGUCAGAGGUACUUCAAGGGUAGGGGUGAAAUCCGUUAAUCCUUGAGGGACCACCAGUAGCGAAGGCGUCUGACCAGACCGGGUCCGACGGUGAGGGACGAAGGCUAGGGUCGCGAACCGGAUUAGAUACCCGGGUAGUCCUAGCUGUAAACGAUGCGGGCCGGGUGUUGGCAUUACUGCGAGUGAUGUCAGUGCCGAAGGGAAGCCGUUAAAGCCCGCCAUCUGGGG